RNAcentral lists this ribosomal RNA (478 nucleotides) under uncultured bacterium. RNAcentral describes it as "partial 16S ribosomal RNA". It matches the Rfam family "Bacterial small subunit ribosomal RNA", at positions 28 to 506 of the family's 1533-position model. The record is from RNAcentral.
GAUGAACGCUAGCGGGAGGCCUAACACAUGCAAGCCGAGCGGUAUUGUUUCUUCGGACAUGAGAGAGCGGCGUACGGGUGCGUAACACGUGUGCAACCUGCCUUUAUCUGGGGGAUAGCCUUUCGAAAGGAAGAUUAAUACUCCAUAAUAUAUUGAACGGCAUCGUUUAAUAUUGAAAGCUCCGGCGGAUAGAGAUGGGCACGCGCAAGAUUAGCUAGUUGGUGAGGUAACGGCUCACCAAGGCGAUGAUCUUUAGGGGGCCUGAGAGGGUGAUCCCCCACACUGGUACUGAGACACGGACCAGACUCCUACGGGAGGCAGCAGUGAGGAAUAUUGGUCAAUGGGUGCAAGCCUGAACCAGCCAUCCCGCGUGAAGGACGACUGCCCUAUGGGUUGUAAACUUCUUUUGUAUAGGGAUAAACCUACCCUCGAGAGGGUAGCUGAAGGUACUAUACGAAUAAGCACCGGCUAACUCCGU